CCGUCUUACCUUCUUCAGGUUCCGUAGUCUGGUGUGUUCACUCAUGGCAUCCUGGAAGCAGAAGAAAGCAUCAUGAUGAACACAGACAACACCAGGAGGCGCCGUCAUCCUGAGAGGGAGCCAUGAAGAUGAGCUCCUCAGCACCUCCUCACCUGAGAGGAGCUCACACAGUGUGAAAGAAGGGAUGCUAAACCGAUUACAAGCUUACAGAAAUAUAAUGCGCCAUUUAAAAAUACCUAACACACAUAUAUCAAAGUCAAGGCCCGGGGCCGGACCCGGCCCUCUAGGUUUGCUUCACUGUAAACAACCCUGACACUGGACAGACGGGUUCUUCUGCUUCCUCCUGCAUGGCAGAAUACCGCAAAUACCACUGGAUGACAACAGAGGGUCUGCGCCAGUCCGAGCGGAGGAGCUUUUGGGUGAAGGUCAUCCAGGAGCUGCAGCAGGAAGAAACCCAGAGAAGAUGAAUGACCACGCCCUGAAACUGCAAACGAAACCAUCCAACCUGCUUCACGCCUCAUCUGCUGCGCGUGUACGUGAAGACACACAAGCAUGCGCGUGCGUGCGCACAGCUCCUUUGUCUGCAGGAACACUGCUUCUGAGAAACUCAUCUGCAUUAUUCUCCACUCCAUGACGUUCCCAACUUAAGUCCAAUAGCUCAUUCCCGGGAGUUUCCCCAAAAAUAUAUAUAUUUUUAAAAAAGGAGGAUGUUUUGUUUAUCCCUGUUGUCUUCUUGUCUUUUUCCUUUUUAAGAAUAUUAGUGAUUUGUUUCCGUGAUUCUUACUUAAGUAGUUAAACUGAAUUGUUGUGUGUACCGACUGUUCAUGACCCGUUUACUCUCACUAACCUUUUGUCAGAUCAGGGCGUAUUCAAACGCUCCGUACCAUUCUGAAAUUAGCCCGACCUGACAGACUCCACUACUUCAACAACAAAGAAACUGCAGAUGGUUUCAGCUUUGCCACAGUUUUGCAUGCCCCCAGCCUCUGCUGGGUGGGAUCUUUUCUUGCUUUUCCACCGAGUGAUGGAUUCAUCGUCUACGACCCAAAUGUUUAGAAGUUCUCCAGCCUUUUUAACGAUUUGAUUUUUGCAGCAUGAUAAAGAAACUGAUGAACACAUCGU
Long non-coding RNA from Oryzias melastigma (Indian medaka), 1119 nucleotides. RefSeq lists it as uncharacterized. The transcript is spliced from 3 exons. The record is from RefSeq and is a predicted model, not a curated record. NCBI's taxonomy places the organism in Eukaryota, Metazoa, Chordata, Actinopteri, Beloniformes, Adrianichthyidae.